RNAcentral lists this unclassified non-coding RNA (156 nucleotides) under uncultured Ophiocordycipitaceae. RNAcentral's name for it is "sequence contains ITS1". The record is from RNAcentral. Lineage: Eukaryota; Fungi; Ascomycota; Sordariomycetes; Hypocreales.
CCGAGCCCGCCAGCUCCCAAACCCCCGAGAACAUACCGUGGACGUUGCUUCGGCGGGACCGCCCCGGCGCCCCCAGCGGCCCGGAACCAGGCGCCCGCCGGGGACCCAAACUCUGCCUUGGCCUGUGGCAUGCUCCGAGUCACCAGAAAUGAAUCA